AGUGGGGAAUUUUGCGCAAUGGGGGAAACCCUGACGCAGCAACGCCGCGUGAGUGAUGAAGGCUUUCGGGUCGUAAAGCUCUGUCAGAGGGGAAGAAACUCUUGUGGUCGAACAGGCCGCAGGAUUGACGGUACCCUCAGAGGAAGCACCGGCUAACUCCGUGCCAGCAGCCGCGGUAAUACGGAGGGUGCGAGCGUUGUUCGGAAUUAUUGGGCGUAAAGCGCGUGCAGGCGGCCUGUUGAGUCUGAUGUGAAAGCCCGAGGCUCAACCCCGGAAGUGCAUUGGAUACUGGCAGGCUUGAGUACGGGAGAGGGAAGUGGAAUUCCGAGUGUAGGGGUGAAAUCCGUAGAUAUUCGGAGGAACACCGGUGGCGAAGGCGGCUUCCUGGACCGAUACUGACGCUGAGACGCGAAAGCGUGGGGAGCAAACAGGAUUAGAUACCCUGGUAGUCCACGCCGUAAACGAUGUUCACUCGCUGUUUGCGAUACACAGUAAGCGGCUGAGCGAAAGCAUUAAGUGAACCACCUGGGGAGUACGAUCGCAAGGUUG
This 549-nucleotide ribosomal RNA is filed under the name uncultured bacterium. RNAcentral's name for it is "bacterial SSU rRNA". It matches the Rfam family "Bacterial small subunit ribosomal RNA", at positions 353 to 896 of the family's 1533-position model. The record is from RNAcentral.